Molecule: non-coding RNA, 370 nt
Organism: Dermacoccus sp. PE3
Lineage: Bacteria; Bacillati; Actinomycetota; Actinomycetes; Micrococcales; Dermacoccaceae
Source: Rfam
UGAGUCGGCCGGGCGGUCGCGUCGAAGAUUCAUCUUCGCCGAGGAAAGUCCGGGCUCCGAAGGGCAGGGUGGUGGCUAACGGCCACCCGGGGUGACCCGCGGGACAGUGCCACAGAAAACAGACCGCCGCGCUUCGUGCGCGGUAAGGGUGAAACGGUGGUGUAAGAGACCACCAGCGCUCCAGGUGACUGGAGCGGCUCGGUAAACCCCACCCGGAGCAAGAUCGAACAGUGCGCGUCGAAGCUGCCCGCUGAGCGCACGGGUAGAUUGCUCGAGCCACGCAGCAAUGCGCGGCCUAGAUGGAUGAUCGCCGAAGCGACACCGGUGACGGUGCGCGGAACACAACCCGGCUUACAGGCCGGCUCAUCCC